UACAGAGGGUGCGAGCGUUAAUCGGAAUUACUGGGCGUAAAGCGUGCGUAGACGGUUAUUUAAGUCGGAUGUGAAAGCCCCGGGCUCAACCUGGGAAUUGCAUUCGAGACUGAAUAGCUAGGGUGCGGUAGAGGGAAGCGGAAUUUCCGGUGUAGCGGUGAAAUGCGUAGAUAUCAGGAGGAACACCGGUGGUGUAGACGGCUUUCUGGACCGUAACUGACGCUGAGACACGAAAGCGUGGGGUAGCAAACAGG
This 254-nucleotide ribosomal RNA is filed under the name uncultured bacterium. RNAcentral's name for it is "partial 16S ribosomal RNA". It matches the Rfam family "Bacterial small subunit ribosomal RNA", at positions 524 to 776 of the family's 1533-position model. The record is from RNAcentral.